CAGCGCCACGAGUGGUAACCGCGAUUAUUGGGCCUAAAGCGUCCGUAGCAGGUUUAGCAAAUCUUUUGUGAAAUUGUGCGGCUUAACCGUACAACGUGCAAGAGACACUACUGAACUCGAGACCGGGAGGAGUCAGAAGUAUUCCAGGGGGAGCGGUAAAAUGUUAUAAUCCCUGGAGGACUACCUAUGGCGAAGGCAUCUGACCAGAACGGAUCUGACUGUGAGGGACGAAAGCCAGGGGAGCGAACCGGAUUAGAUACCCGCGUAGUCC
This 271-nucleotide ribosomal RNA is filed under the name uncultured archaeon. Its description in RNAcentral is "partial 16S ribosomal RNA". It matches the Rfam family "Archaeal small subunit ribosomal RNA", at positions 477 to 747 of the family's 1478-position model. The record is from RNAcentral.